RNAcentral lists this ribosomal RNA (816 nucleotides) under uncultured Nostocales cyanobacterium. RNAcentral describes it as "bacterial SSU rRNA". It matches the Rfam family "Bacterial small subunit ribosomal RNA", at positions 8 to 866 of the family's 1533-position model. The record is from RNAcentral. Lineage: Bacteria; Bacillati; Cyanobacteriota; Cyanophyceae; Nostocales.
AGAGUUUGAUCCUGGCUCAGGAUGAACGCUGGCGGUCUGCUUAACACAUGCAAGUCGAACGGACGUUUUCGGACGUUAGUGGCGGACGGGUGAGUAACGCGUGAGAAUCUGCCUUCAGGUUGGGGACAACAGUUGGAAACGACUGCUAAUACCCAAUGUGCCGAGAGGUGAAAGCUUUAGUGCCUGAGGAUGAGCUCGCGUCUGAUUAGCUAGUUGGAGUGGUAAUGGCACACCAAGGCGACGAUCAGUAGCUGGUCUGAGAGGAUGAUCAGCCACACUGGGACUGAGACACGGCCCAGACUCCUACGGGAGGCAGCAGUGGGGAAUUUUCCGCAAUGGGCGCAAGCCUGACGGAGCAAGACCGCGUGAGGGAGGAAGGCUCUUGGGUUGUAAACCUCUUUUAUCAGGGAAGAAGAUCUGACGGUACCUGAUGAAUAAGCAUCGGCUAACUCCGUGCCAGCAGCCGCGGUAAUACGGAGGAUGCAAGCGUUAUCCGGAAUGAUUGGGCGUAAAGCGUCCGCAGGUGGUUUAUCAAGUUUGCGGUUAAAGGUUCUGGCUCAACCAGAGACAGGCCGUGAAAACUGAUAGACUAGAGUAUGGUAGGGGCAGAGGGAAUUCCCAGUGUAGCGGUGAAAUGCGUAGAGAUUGGGAAGAACACCGGUGGCGAAAGCGCUCUGCUAGGCCAAAACUGACACUGAGGGACGAAAGCUAGGGGAGCGAAUGGGAUUAGAUACCCCAGUAGUCCUAGCCGUAAACGAUGGAUACUAGGUGUAGCUUGUAUCGACCCAAGCUGUGCCGUAGCUAACGCGUUAAGUA